Molecule: ribosomal RNA, 205 nt
Filed under: uncultured bacterium
Lineage: Bacteria
Description: partial 16S ribosomal RNA
Rfam family: Bacterial small subunit ribosomal RNA
Source: RNAcentral
ACUCCUACGGGAGGCAGCAGUGGGGAAUAUUGCACAAUGGGCGCAAGCCUGAUGCAGCCAUGCCGCGUGUGUGAAGAAGGCCUUCGGGUUGUAAAGCACUUUCAGUCGUGAGGAAGGUAGUGUAGUUAAUAGCUUGGCUAAAUUAUUUGACGUUAGCGACAGAAGAAGCACCGGCUAACUCCGUGCCAGCAGCCGGCGGUAAUAC